UUUUAAAUUUAGAGUUUGAUCCUGGCUCAGGACGAACGCUGGCGGCGUGCUUAACACAUGCAAGUCGAGCGAUGAAACUUCCUUCGGGAAGUGGAUUAGCGGCGGACGGGUGAGUAACACGUGGGUAACCUGCCUCAAAGUGGGGGAUAGCCUUCCGAAAGGAAGAUUAAUACCGCAUAAUAUAAGAGAAUCGCAUGAUUUUCUUAUCAAAGAUUUAUUGCUUUGAGAUGGACCCGCGGCGCAUUAGCUAGUUGGUAAGGUAACGGC
This 267-nucleotide ribosomal RNA is filed under the name Clostridium botulinum. Its description in RNAcentral is "partial 16S ribosomal RNA". It matches the Rfam family "Bacterial small subunit ribosomal RNA", at positions 1 to 264 of the family's 1533-position model. Lineage: Bacteria; Bacillati; Bacillota; Clostridia; Eubacteriales; Clostridiaceae. The record is from RNAcentral.